Molecule: long non-coding RNA, 624 nt
Organism: Chelonia mydas (Green sea turtle)
Lineage: Eukaryota; Metazoa; Chordata; Testudines; Cheloniidae
Exons: 3
Source: RefSeq, a predicted model, not a curated record
AGUAUCAGCUUUCUGUGGAAAGUUUCAGUUUUUUUCAUCAAAAAACCCAAACACUCAAAACCCAAAAUAUUUGUAAUGUGAAAUGUUGCUGCAGUGCCUCAUGGGAGUUGUAGUUCAGGUGCCUCAUGCUCCCAUUCUCCUCUAUAGGCUAAGCUCCCUGGUUGGACUAUGUCUCCCAUGAUGCAGCACAGCCAGGGACUCCCAUGAUGCUCUGCCUCCUCUAACAGAGGGGAAACUGUGGUACAUCUUGGGACAUGGGGUCUGACUGGAGAAGCCAGCUUAUAGCACAGAAAAGGCAAGAAAUCCCAUUUUCUGACCAUUUUCUCUAAUUGGAAGGUCUUUGGGGGCAGGGACUCUCUCUUCCUCAGUGUGUGUACAGCACCUAGCACAAUGGACCCCUGCUCCUAAGAGGGACCUUUGGGUGCUACAGUAAUACAAAAUAACAACAAUGGUGCUCGGCAUGUCUUUGAAGACUGGAAAUGCGCGCUUGCUGAAGGGCCUUGCACACUGUGUGAUCAGUAGAAGCGGCAUUCACAGGAGCACACGGAUCAGAGGAGCUAUUGCCCAGCAGAUCCCCUACAGAAGAACAAGGAAGGAGGCAGCCAGGGCCCAUCCUUACCGAGC